UUGUUAAAACACAAACAAAAUAUCACUACAGAACACCUCUGUGAAAUAAAAACUAUGGAAUAUUUCUCAUUUUGCAGAGGGGAAAAAAAACCCAAGGCACAGAGGCUUAAGAAACCUGCCUAAGGUCACACAGCUAUUAAGUGUGGAAUAGGGCAGCAAGGCCAGAGGAUAAGGAACUAGGGACGUCAAGGCAAGGCAAGUUGGCGUGACAGGCAGUGGGAAGUCAUGCCAGACUAGGAGAGAGGCUUGUUCUUGAAACACGUUCACAAUGGGGCUCAGACAAGAAGUUGUUGAAUGACCCAGCUGUGCCCUGGGCCUUCCUAGUAACACUAUCCAGGGGUUGUUGACUUGAAUCUUGUCCCCUCUUGCCUUCUCCAACAAUUUUAGUUCAAGGAUUCCUAGAGGUAUGGCCACACUGGCCGAGAAGGUCCUUCACAGUCAGUCAGAACCAGUGACUGCUGCUCACCUCCACCGAGGCAGAGGGAAGGCCCUGGGUUGCUCAAUUCUGAGUCACACCCUUCCUGCGCCCUGAGGCAAGGACCAUGUCUGAUUGCUCUUACUUCCUUCAUUUAGAUAAAACUGGCUGUACCUCGGUCUGUCCUCAGACUGCUGAGUCAGGUAAGGCAGGAUGGGCAGUGAAGCCCCCAAUCCAUCAGCACUGACAUCCUGUGAUUCCCAGGAUUAAAUACAGAGUGGAAUUCAUGUCAGGAGGCUGGCCGGGGUCCCUGAUUUGAAUCUUCCCUCAAACAUUUUCAUAUACAUAUGCAUGAUUUUGCUAACCAGUUUUAUGCCUAUUUGACACCAAUUAGAGUCAUUUUGGUAACUCAGAAAAUAUCCCCACUCUACUGGCCUAUAGGUAAGCCUCUAGUGCAUUUUCUCUAUUGAUGAUUGAUGUUGGAGGGCCCAGCCCAGUGUGGGCAGUGCCUCAUCUGGGCCUGUGUUCUCUAAGUAGCAGACUGAACAAGCAAGCUGCAUCCCUUUAUGGCCCCUGUUUCGGGUCCUGCCUCCAAGUCCCUGCCUUGGAAUCCUACCCUGACUGCCCUGGAUGAUGAGCUAUAAAUGGGAGCCAGGCAUGGUGGAGCCUUGCAGGCUGAUCUUCACUUUCUACCGUCUUUGAGAUGGGGCCUCAUUUCUGAAUGGUGUGCCAGGGUAUGUGGCCCAUAGCUUCCAGAGAGUCUCCUGCGUCAGCCUUCCAUCUCCUCAGAACUCCAGGACUGCAGAUGCACAGGCCCCACAUCUGGUCAUUACAUGGGCUCUGGUGAUUCAAACUAAUUCUCAAACUCGUUUGAUUGGCUGGCCUGGAAUUUACCACAUAGCCCAGGCUAGCCUCAAACUUGUGAUGUCUUGAGACUCAGACUUUCCAAGCACCAGGAUUACAGACAGGGUUUCUCUGUGUAGCCUUGGCUGUCCUGGACCUUGCUCUGUAGACCAGACUGGCUUCGUUCGUCUCCCACUGAUGUAUGUUGGACACACUUGCAUCUUGUACUAUGAACGACAGCGGCACAAGAACCGGCUUUCUCAGAGGUCUUUCUUGAUCAGCUCCUUUUCAAUGAAAUUAACUCCUCAGUUCAGCAUGGGGGCUCACACCUGUAACCCCACCAUUCAGGAGGCCAAGAGAAUGGUCCUGAGUUCAAUUCCCAGCAACCACAUGGUGGCUCACAACC
Non-coding RNA from Myodes glareolus (Bank vole), 1664 nucleotides. The record is from RefSeq and is a predicted model, not a curated record. Lineage: Eukaryota; Metazoa; Chordata; Mammalia; Rodentia; Cricetidae.